RNAcentral lists this transfer RNA (82 nucleotides) under archaeon. RNAcentral describes it as "tRNA-Ser". It matches the Rfam family "tRNA". From Rfam's summary of the family: Transfer RNA (tRNA) molecules are approximately 80 nucleotides in length. Their secondary structure includes four short double-helical elements and three loops (D, anti-codon, and T loops). Further hydrogen bonds mediate the characteristic L-shaped molecular structure. tRNAs have two regions of fundamental functional importance: the anti-codon, which is responsible for specific mRNA codon recognition, and the 3' end, to which the tRNAs corresponding amino acid is attached (by aminoacyl-tRNA synthetases). tRNAs cope with the degeneracy of the genetic code in two manners: having more than one tRNA (with a specific anti-codon) for a particular amino acid; and 'wobble' base-pairing, i.e. permitting non-standard base-pairing at the 3rd anti-codon position. The record is from RNAcentral. RNAcentral also lists the same sequence under 1 other name.
GCAGAGGUGGCGGAGUGGUCAAACGCGCAAGCCUGGAAAGCUUGAGCCUCGUGCUACGCGAGUUCGAAUCUCGUCCUCUGCG